This 1178-nucleotide ribosomal RNA is filed under the name human gut metagenome. Its description in RNAcentral is "bacterial LSU rRNA". It matches the Rfam family "Bacterial large subunit ribosomal RNA", at positions 1113 to 2290 of the family's 2925-position model. The record is from RNAcentral.
CAGCCAUCCUUCAAAGAAAGCGUAAUAGCUCACUGAUCGAGUCUUCCUGCGCGGAAGAUGUAACGGGGCUAAGUCAAUAACCGAAGCCGCGGAUUCGCAGCAAUGCGAGUGGUAGGGGAGCGUUCUGUAAGCCUGCGAAGGCGGAUCCGCGAGGACCGCUGGAGGUAUCAGAAGUGCGAAUGCUGACAUGAGUAACGUUAAAGCGGGUGAAAAGCCCGCUCGCCGCAAGCCCAAGGUUUCCUGCUCUACGUUCAUCGGAGCAGGGUGAGUCGGCCCCUAAGGUCAGGCUGAGAAGCGUAGCUGAUGGGAAGCUGGUUAAUAUUCCAGCACCGAUUUCAAGUGCGAAGGGGGGACGGAGUCCUGAAGGUCAUCCGGGUGUUGGAUAUCCCGGUUUACGAGCGUAGGAGGUUGACAGGCAAAUCCGUCAACGAAUCUCCAAGGCGAAGGAUCGAGGUUGAGAGAUCAACUGAAGUGACUGAAUGGGCUUCCAGGAAAAGCCUCUAAGCAUCAGCUUGGAAUUGACCGUACCGCAAACCGACACUGGUGGGCGAGCUGAAUAUGCUCAGGCGCUUGAGAGAACUCAGGAGAAGGAACUCGGCAAAUUGACACCGUAACUUCGGGAUAAGGUGUGCCUUUGUAGUGUGAAGAGAGAAACACUCCGAGCAUGAAGAGGCCUCAGAGAAUCGGUGGCUGCAACUGUUUACUAAAAACACAGCACUCUGCAAAGAUGAAAGUCGACGUAUAGGGUGUGAUGCCUGCCCGGUGCUGGAAGAUUAAUUGAUGGGGUGCAAGCUCCUGAUCGAAGUCCCAGUAAACGGCGGCCGUAACUAUAACGGUCCUAAGGUAGCGAAAUUCCUUGUCGGGUAAGUUCCGACCUGCACGAAUGGCAUAAUGAUGGCCACACUGUCUCCUCCUGAGACUCAGUGAAGUUGAAAUGUUUGUGAUGAUGCAAUCUCCCCGCGGCUAGACGGAAAGACCCCAUGAACCUUUACUGCAGCUUUGCAUUGGACUUUGAACCGAUCUGUGUAGGAUAGGUGGGAGGCAGUGAAGCUAGGACGCCAGUCUUAGCGGAGCCAACCUUGAAAUACCACCCUGAUUUGUUUGAGGUUCUAACCUAGGAGCGUAAUCCGCUUCGGGGACCGUGCAUGGUAGGCAGUUUGACUGGGGCGGUCUCCUCC